RNAcentral lists this ribosomal RNA (792 nucleotides) under uncultured bacterium. RNAcentral describes it as "bacterial SSU rRNA". It matches the Rfam family "Bacterial small subunit ribosomal RNA", at positions 8 to 796 of the family's 1533-position model. The record is from RNAcentral.
AGAGUUUGAUCCUGGCUCAGGAUGAACGCUAGCGGCAGGCAUAAUACAUGCAAGACGAACGGUAAGUUUGGUAGCAAUACUAGACCUAGAGUGUCGUACGGGUGCGUAACACGUAUGCAACCUACCUUUUACAGGAGUAUAGCUCGGUGAAAACCGAAUUAACCCUCCAUAAGAUCAUAUUCAGGCAUCUGAAAGUGAUUAAAACUGCGGUGGUAAAAGAUGGGCAUGCGUUUGAUUAGUUAGUUGGCAGUGUAACGGACUACCAAGACGAUGAUCAAUAGGGGACCUGAGAGGGUGAUCCCCCACACUGGCACUGAGAUACGGGCCAGACUCCUACGGGAGGCAGCAGUAGGGAAUAUUGGACAAUGGGUGAGAGCCUGAUCCAGCCAUGCCGCGUGCAGGAAGAAGGCGUUAUGCGUUGUAAACUGCUUUUGCCAGGGGAUAAAACGGCUCUGCGGAGCUAAUUGAAGGUACCUGGUGAAUAAGCCACGGCUAACUACGUGCCAGCAGCCGCGGUAAUACGUAGGUGGCAAGCGUUGUCCGGAUUUAUUGGGUUUAAAGGGUGCGUAGGCGGCCCACUAAGUCAGUGCUGAAAUAUCCCGGCUUAACCGGGAGGGUGGCAUUGAUACUGGUGGGCUUGAGUACAGAUGAAGUAGGUGGAAUUGACGGUGUAGCGGUGAAAUGCAUAGAUAUCGUCAAGAACACCGAUAGCGAAGGCAGCUUACUAAGCUGUAACUGACGCUGAGGCACGAAAGUGUGGGGAUCAAACAGGAUUAGAUACCCUGGUAGUCC